This 761-nucleotide ribosomal RNA is filed under the name uncultured Prevotella sp. RNAcentral describes it as "bacterial SSU rRNA". It matches the Rfam family "Bacterial small subunit ribosomal RNA", at positions 28 to 776 of the family's 1533-position model. The record is from RNAcentral. Lineage: Bacteria; Pseudomonadati; Bacteroidota; Bacteroidia; Bacteroidales; Prevotellaceae.
GAUGAACGCUAGCUAUAGGCUUAACACAUGCAAGUCGAGGGGAAACGGCAUUAUGUGCUUGCACAUUUUGGACGUCGACCGGCGCACGGGUGAGUAUCGCGUAUCCAACCUGCCCUUUACUUGGGGAUACCCCGUUGAAAGACGGCCUAAUACCCGAUGUAAUUCAUUGAUGGCAUCAGAUAUGAAUAAAAGAUUUAUCGGUAAAGGAUGGGGAUGCGUCUGAUUAGCUUGUUGGUGAGGUAAAGGCUCACCAAGGCGACGAUCAGUAGGGGUUCUGAGAGGAAGGUCCCCCACAUUGGAACUGAGACACGGUCCAAACUCCUACGGGAGGCAGCAGUGAGGAAUAUUGGUCAAUGGACGGAAGUCUGAACCAGCCAAGUAGCGUGCAGGAAGACGGCCCUAUGGGUUGUAAACUGCUUUUAUACGAGAAUAAUUUGAUGCACGUGUGCGUUAUUGCAUGUAUCGUAUGAAUAAGGACCGGCUAAUUCCGUGCCAGCAGCCGCGGUAAUACGGAAGGUCCAGGCGUUAUCCGGAUUUAUUGGGUUUAAAGGGAGUGUAGGCGGUUUGUUAAGCGUGUUGUGAAAUUUAGGUGCUCAACAUUUAACUUGCAGCGCGAACUGUCAGACUUGAGUACACGCAACGUAUGCGGAAUUCAUGGUGUAGCGGUGAAAUGCUUAGAUAUCAUGAAGAACUCCGAUUGCGAAGGCAGCAUACGGGAGUGUAACUGACGCUUAAGCUCGAAGGUGCGGGUAUCGAACAGG